AAAAGAGAAGAAUUCGAUUUGAUGCUUACAAAUGACAAUGUAAGUUUAUUUUAAUUAUGUGAAUUUUUAAUUACUCUACUCUAAUUUUCUUUAGUUUUUAAUUAAUUUUAUGUUAUUUUCUCUCGUUAGAUUAUGUGACGGUCAUAUGCUAGAUUGCAAGACGAUUUUCUACCUCAAUAUCUUGUUGGGCAAAUGGAUGUUGCGCUUUCCCACAUAAUAUUGAUAUGUUUUGAAAAAUAACAUAUCAUAGGUCCCGUUGAAGUUGAAUUUGCCAGUUGAUUUAAUUCCCAGUCAAACAAUCAUUAACGAUAGUCAACAAGUAGAGCACUGCUUCACAAAAAUUUGAUUGGAAUGUGAGGCAUGUGAGUUUUGUAAAAUUUUGGGACGAGAGGAGAUUAAAUCUUAUUGCGACAGAAAUGAUAAUUUAUUUAUCUUAUCCUUCUUUCUAAUUUGUUAAAUUUUAUUUAUAUUUUAAACUAAUUGUGUUCUUUUUAUGUUCGGUAGAUGUGAAUGAGAGUCAAGGGCCUUUGACUUCUAAUGGUAUCUAUUUAUCCUGUCCUUUUUUCAGCUUGUUAAAUUUUAUUUAUGUUUUUAACUAUUCGUGGUCUUUUUAUGUUUGGUAGAUGCGGACGAAAAUCAAACGUCAACGAUACCCGGAGGAGUUGAAAGUAAUCUGGGUGAUGACUUUCAUAGUCCAUAUGUUGGUACUUAUAGUGGAGGUGCCAACAUCAUUGAUGAAGGGCCGAGUCAUGAAAUUGAGGUUGAUAAAAGUCACAUGGAAGAUCAAACUGCUACUGGGCAGCAUGCUGUGGAUGACUUUCAUAGUCCAUGUGUAGGUACUUGUGGAGGGGCCAACAUCAUCGACAGUAUUUGAACUUUCUUGGACUUGUUCUUCAUUGAAGCAGUUCCUGAAAUACAGGAGUCAGAUAAUGGAAGAUCUUUUCAACAA
RNAcentral lists this long non-coding RNA (949 nucleotides) under Olea europaea (common olive). RNAcentral's name for it is "long non-coding RNA (OEUR_LNC007624)". The record is from RNAcentral. Lineage: Eukaryota; Viridiplantae; Streptophyta; Magnoliopsida; Lamiales; Oleaceae.